UAUGUAUGGGAAUGAUGUGAUUGUAUACA
Molecule: non-coding RNA, 29 nt
Filed under: Mus musculus (house mouse)
Lineage: Eukaryota; Metazoa; Chordata; Mammalia; Rodentia; Muridae
Source: RNAcentral